Molecule: long non-coding RNA, 1378 nt
Filed under: Homo sapiens (human)
Lineage: Eukaryota; Metazoa; Chordata; Mammalia; Primates; Hominidae
Description: novel transcript
Source: RNAcentral
GGGGGGAAUUACCAUUAGCAGUUGAAGUGGUAGGAAAUUUUUACAUAGGAGAGUAUGGUGAUCAUAUUUGCAUUUUAGAAAAUAAUGGAUAGCAGUUUGUUAGGGGAACAAAGGACAGAGACAGGGAGACUAUUUAAAACAUUAAUAAAAAAUACCAGUGACAGAUGAUGAGGCACCUACCUGAUGGGAAUGGAGAAGAGGAGAUGGAUUCAGAAACUACUUAGGAGGUACAGUCAUCAAGAUCUAGAUGACUAAUUGCAUGUAGGGGGUAAAAAAGUAGGAAGAAGAGAGGAUGAUGACUCCUGCAUUUCUGGCUUGGGAAAGUGGUUAGAUUGUGGGCUGGAUGUGUGCAUGAUUAUGUGUGUGUAGCUGAAAAGGCAAUUUAGCUUUGCAACUGUUGAAGUGAAUAUGGACCAUAGACAUAGAUAUCCCUAGGUAGCUGAAUAUGUAGCCUGCAAAUCAGGAGAAAAUUCUAGGUGAAGAUGGUAAUUGCGAAUCAUCAGAGUCUAUAUGAGGCAGGCAGUCCAAGGCUGAUGCCCAAAGAAGCCAUCAAGACCCGUGCUACUUCCAGCUCCUUCUGUCCUCAUAAUCAUAGAUGAUUGCUCCACAUCCAGAGUCUCGCUCAGUUUCCAGGCUGGAGUGUAAUGGCGUGAUCUUGGCUCACUGCAACCUCUGCCUCCCAGCUUCAAGUGAUUCCCCUGCUUUAGCCUCCCAAGCAGCUGGGACUACAGGCAUGCACCAGCAUGGCCGGCUAAUUUUUUUUUGUAUUUUAGUACAGAUGGGGUUUAACCAUGUUGGCCAGGAUGAUCUUGAUCUCCUGACCUCGUGAUCUGCCCACCUCGGCCUCCCAAAGUGCUAGGAUUACAGGCGUGAGCCACCUUGCCCGGCCUUCUAUUCCUUUUUCUAAUGCAUUUGCCCCAGCUAUCUGUAUAGCCUGCAAUCUGGUAGAUGGACCACAGGGAAACCACUGCAGCAAACUAAAAGUGUCUAUCUCAGAUCCUUCCACCACCAUCAUUUCCAAAAUCACCGUCACUAUCUCCACCACCAUCACCUUUACCACCAUCACCACUAUCAUCCUCAUCCUUCCCAUCACCAUCUCCACUGCUAUCUCUCAACACCAUCAUCAUCACCACCACCACCAUCAUCACCAUGAGCACCACCUCUGUCGUCAUCAAAAAAGCACACAGUUCAGGCUGGCCUGUUGGAGGAUAACAGAUCAUGUGGAGCAGAGACGAGCUGGCCCACCUCAGGCCCUACCAGAGCAAUCAGCUUGCCAAACACGACAUACAUCAGCGAGGCCAUCCUAGACCAUCCAGCCCUAGCUGAGCCAGCCCAGACCAGAGACUCAUGAGAAACAGUAAAAUGUUCAUCAUUUUAA